AACGAACGCUGGCGGCAUGCCUAACACAUGCAAGUCGAACGAGACCUUCGGGUCUAGUGGCGCACGGGUGCGUAACGCGUGGGAACCUGCCCUUAGGUUCGGAAUAACUCCCCGAAAGGGGUGCUAAUACCGGAUAAUGUCUUCGGACCAAAGAUUUAUCGCCUUUGGAUGGGCCCGCGUUGGAUUAGCUUGUUGGUAGGGUAAAAGCCUACCAAGGCGACGAUCCAUAGCUGGUCUGAGAGGAUGAUCAGCCACACUGGGAGUGGGACACGGCCCAGACUCCUACGGGAGGCAGCAGUGGGGAAUAUUGGAAAAUGGGCGAAAGCCUGAUCCAGCAAUGCCGGGUGAGUGAUGAAGGCCUUAGGGUUGUAAAGCUCUUUUACCCGGGAUGAUAAUGACAGUACCGGGAGAAUAAGCUCCGGCUAACUCCGUG
This 433-nucleotide ribosomal RNA is filed under the name uncultured bacterium. Its description in RNAcentral is "partial 16S ribosomal RNA". It matches the Rfam family "Bacterial small subunit ribosomal RNA", at positions 29 to 507 of the family's 1533-position model. The record is from RNAcentral.